AUUGAACGCUGGCGGCAGGCUUAACACAUGCAAGUCGAGCGGGGUGAUGGUGCUUGCACUAUCACUUAGCGGCGGACGGGUGAGUAAUGCUUAGGAAUCUGCCUAUUAGUGGGGGACAACAUCUCGAAAGGGAUGCUAAUACCGCAUACGUCCUACGGGAGAAAGCAGGGGAUCACUUGUGACCUUGCGCUAAUAGAUGAGCCUAAGUCGGAUUAGCUAGUAGGUGGGGUAAAGGCCUACCAAGGCGACGAUCUGUGGCGGGUCUGAGAGGAUGAUCCGCCACACUGGGACUGAGACACGGCCCAGACUCCUACGGGAGGCAGCAGUGGGGAAUAUUGGACAAUGGGGGGAACCCUGAUCCAGCCAUGCCGCGUGUGUGAAGAAGGCCUUAUGGUUGUAAAGCACUUUAAGCGAGGAGGAGGCUCUUUUGGUUAAUACCCAAGAUGAGUGGACGUUACUCGCAGAAUAAGCACCGGCUAACUCUGUGCCAGCCGCCGCAGUAA
This 503-nucleotide ribosomal RNA is filed under the name uncultured bacterium. RNAcentral describes it as "partial 16S ribosomal RNA". It matches the Rfam family "Bacterial small subunit ribosomal RNA", at positions 30 to 523 of the family's 1533-position model. The record is from RNAcentral.